This 525-nucleotide ribosomal RNA is filed under the name uncultured bacterium. Its description in RNAcentral is "partial 16S ribosomal RNA". It matches the Rfam family "Bacterial small subunit ribosomal RNA", at positions 28 to 523 of the family's 1533-position model. The record is from RNAcentral.
GACGAACGCUGGCGGCGUGCCUAAUACAUGCAAGUCGAGCGCAGGAAACUGACGGAACUCUUCGGAGGGAAGGCAGCGGAAUGAGCGGCGGACGGGUGAGUAACACGUAAGGAACCUGCCUCAAGGAUUGGGAUAACUCCGAGAAAUCGGAGCUAAUACCGGAUAGUUCAACGGACCGCAUGGUCCGCUGAUGAAAGGCGCUUCGGCGUCACCUUGAGCUGGCCUUGCGGUGCAUUAGCUAGUUGGUGGGGUAACGGCCCACCAAGGCGCACGAUGCCUAGCCGACCUGAGAGGGUGAUCGGCCACACUGGGACUGAGACACGGCCCAGACUCCUACGGGAGGCAGCAGUAGGGAAUCUUCCACAAUGGACGAAAGUCUGAUGGAGCAACGCCGCGUGAGUGAUGAAGGUUUUCGGAUCGUAAAACUCUGUUGUAAGGGAAGAACACGUACGAGAGGAAAUGCUCGUACCUUGACGGUACCUUACGAGAAAGCCACGGCUAACUACGUGCCAGCCGCCGCCGUAA